Molecule: ribosomal RNA, 253 nt
Filed under: uncultured bacterium
Lineage: Bacteria
Description: partial 16S ribosomal RNA
Rfam family: Bacterial small subunit ribosomal RNA
Source: RNAcentral
UACGUAGGGUGCAAGCGUUAAUCGGAAUUACUGGGCGUAAAGCGUGCGCAGGCGGUUAUGUAAGACAGGUGUGAAAUCCCCGGGCUUAACCUGGGAACUGCAUUUGUGACUGCAUAGCUAGAGUACGGUAGAGGGGGAUGGAAUUCCGCGUGUAGCAGUGGAAUGCGUAGAUAUGCGGAGGAACACCGAUGGCGAAGGCAAUCCCCUGGACCUGUACUGACGCUCAUGCACGAAAGCGUGGGGAGCAAACAGG